Trichobilharzia regenti is the source of this 46-nucleotide non-coding RNA. The record is from Rfam. Lineage: Eukaryota; Metazoa; Platyhelminthes; Trematoda; Strigeidida; Schistosomatidae.
GUACUGCUGAAUAGUCCCAAACUAGGACGAAACAGAUGUCAAGUAC